ACUGCAAUGUUACGCAAGAGUUUGGUUUGGUCCACCGGGGGAACCCAGCCGGAGGCAGGGUCGCCCCCGAGGCAACGCGGUCGGACGACAGUGGGUAUAAUGAUUUCGACCCCGGCGCUGCAACCGCCAUUGCUAGCGGUCGACUUAGGAGCCGGGGUCUUUCACUAUGGUUAAUGAUCCCUCCGCAGGUUCACCUACGGAGACCUUGUUACGACUUUUACUUCCUCUAAAUGACCAAGA
RNAcentral lists this unclassified non-coding RNA (240 nucleotides) under uncultured fungus. RNAcentral describes it as "sequence contains 18S rRNA gene, ITS1, 5.8S rRNA gene, ITS2". The record is from RNAcentral. Lineage: Eukaryota; Fungi.